RNAcentral lists this small nuclear RNA (98 nucleotides) under Bison bison bison. The record is from RNAcentral. Lineage: Eukaryota; Metazoa; Chordata; Mammalia; Artiodactyla; Bovidae.
NUGGCAGCACAUAUACUAAAAUUGGAAUGAUACAGAGAAGAUUAGCAUGGACCCUGAGCAAGGAUGACACGCAAAUUCAUGAAGCGUUCCAUAUUUUU